Molecule: long non-coding RNA, 842 nt
Organism: Rosa rugosa (rugosa rose)
Lineage: Eukaryota; Viridiplantae; Streptophyta; Magnoliopsida; Rosales; Rosaceae
Exons: 2
Source: RefSeq, a predicted model, not a curated record
UAUUAACUACAAAACUCUCAAAAAUAAGAAAACCUCAACUCUCAAUCGAAGGAGCAGAGGAGCUUGAUUCAGAACUCACUUUUGGAUUCGAUUCUCGACGGGCAGAGCUCAAAGCCCAUCUAACUGUAGAUGGGGGCUUCGGUGUGGGCAGGAAUUAUGCAUGCGCAGACGUUGGAGCAUGGUGAUAAGAGUGUAAUUAAUGGAGCUGUGCCUACAUUUUGGACUCCACCCACUGAUGGCUAUCUAAAAGUUAAUUGUGAUGCUUCUGUGAGUCAUAAUGGUGGCCAGGUUGAUGUGGGUAUUAUUUACAGGGAUAGUAGUGGAUCAUUAGUGGCAGCGGUGGGAAAAAGAAUUGCAAGUAGACUUGAGCCUUGUGCGGCUGAAUUACUUACUAUUUUUUUUCUUUGAAAUUAAUUACUUGCUAUUUUAAGAGGCCUGGAAUGGUGCAUUGAACAAGGAUGGAGACGCCUGGUUGUUGAGACGGACUGUAUGGAGGCAGUGCUUUUGGUAAAUGGGAAUGAUGAAUGCCUUGCUGAGGAAGGUUUGUUGGUUGACAGAAUUCUUGCUGGGAUCUGUUGGUGUUCGAGACAUUCAUUAUGUUCUAAGGAGUGCUAAUAAGGCGGCUCAUGAAGCCACUCGUGAUUUUGGGCGACAUGUUUGGUUAGGGGUUGGGCCUUCUUGGCUCAUGGAUAUCAUCUUAUGUGACCAAUUCGUAACUGGUUCGGUUAGUCGGGAGGAGAGUGGGGAUUCAUUGUACACCGCCGGUCAUUCCCAUAUUUUGUAGCUGAUUUCUUUUGAAUAAAAUCGUUAUCCAUUCUCAAAAAAAAAAUCCUGGAAGAACU